GGUUGUAUCUCAGUGGUAGAGCACUUGCCUAGCAUGCGUGAGGCACUGGGUUCAAUUCUCAGCACUA
RNAcentral lists this transfer RNA (67 nucleotides) under Marmota monax (woodchuck). RNAcentral describes it as "tRNA.Ala". Lineage: Eukaryota; Metazoa; Chordata; Mammalia; Rodentia; Sciuridae. The record is from RNAcentral.